Non-coding RNA from Myodes glareolus (Bank vole), 3261 nucleotides. The record is from RefSeq and is a predicted model, not a curated record. NCBI's taxonomy places the organism in Eukaryota, Metazoa, Chordata, Mammalia, Rodentia, Cricetidae.
CCUCUUUCCCUCCUCUUCCCUCCCCCACCCCGCCCCAUUUUCCUCCCUUCUUUCUUACUUCCUUGACUUAUUCUCUGCUUCAUUCUAAGCCUUAGGAUCCAGGCCAGGUCUAUAGUGACAGAAUAAUGAAGCAUGCUGAUUGACUAACAGAGUCCCCAAAGGCAGAAACCGUAUUAGGUUAAUCCCCAGGAAAGUGGUGAGCGUGAAGCAGGAAUUCCAUAAGAUGUGGUGGCUGAUUCCAUAAAUAUGGAAGCCGGGUUUUGCAUCGUCUUUGCAUUUGUUAGAGGCUGUUUGGUUUUCCAGCCCCCCGCCACUACCCUACCCUAGAAUAUCACUCUUUUGAGAGUUCCUGCAGCAAGAGACAGGUCAGCUAGGUGUACAGGCUUUUCUCCACUCUGUGGCUGGGGCCCCACGCUAGAUCUCAGAUUCAUCUAAGCACAACCCCCCUCCACUUCAUGAAUGCCUCUGUGGCGAUGAGCCAGAGGCCCAUGGAGCCCCUUGUACAGCAGGCCUGAUCUGCUGUCAGGGCUAAUAUUUUAUGCAUGGACCUGAGUAAAUGGGAACAUUUGCAGAUGGAAAUUGCUGUUAAUGACACAUCUUUAGAAUAUAUUAAACGUGUGUGCGAGGCCGCUGCUGGUCUCCCAGUUUAAUUGCUCCAAUGUAAGCACAGCCACACCUCAGCAUUAGCAGGAUGGCCACCCCAAGUCCCUUCACUACUGAUGAGGAAAGCCUCAGGUACCUCACCCACCAAGGGAGAAUGAUGCAAGAGGUGGGAUGUCGGCUGGGAUGCCAAGCAGUCAGCAGCAUGCACGUCUCAGACUCAUUGGAGACCCAAAGAGGAUGAUCCCUCCCUGUUGAUGCAGACUUUAAUAAAAGCAAAAUUACUAGAUUUAUCCAUUGUUUGAGGAGAAGAAAAGACAAACAAAGGACUUUUCUCAUCCAAUGAGUCAAGUGAAAAUGUCUGUCCCCCAGGCAGGCAGGCAGGCAGGCAGGAAGAAAGUCCCCGGGGGUACUUCUAGGGUCAGAGAAUUCACCAUCUCUGAGAUAGCAUGUAAACCCCUUGUGCCAAGGUCACAGAGCACAGGCUGUUUCUCUGUGCCUGGCAGAUGUUAGAGCCAGUUUGCCCACCCAUCGUCUCUUCUGGAUGUGAUUGGACUGAGCCAGUGGAGCAUUUCUUUGUUGUUUUUAAGGGGAGUGUGUGUGGGGGGGGAGUAAGUAUUAGCUGUCCCCAGUGAGUAUUUGUGACCUGUGAGGGGAGUAGGUUAUUUCUACGGAAGAGGAAUUUGCUGGGACCCAGAAAGGUUGCAUGACUUUCCAAGAUCUCCUAUCUGGAGACAGGGCUCCAGGCUAUGUGUUCUUAACAUUUCUACUUGUGCUGGCCCAUGUGCCUCUCGAAAUGACCCAUGUGCCAUGGAUGACAGACAGCUCAUUGAAUUGGUUUCCACGUCUUUCUGUAUAGUGCAGCAGGCUCACUUUACCCAAGACAUUUCUUGCCAGGAUCACCAGGCUUUUCUUUUCUCCCUUUUAACUUACCUGUUUCCUCUCCCAUUAACUAAGAGGCUUUCAUUCCUGUCUGGCUUGAGAUGGGGCUGCCUAUUCCAUCAGGAAACCCAGGGCACUGUGGAUGUUAAAUAUCAGGCCGGAAUUGGCUGUUUUGUUUGCUUCUACUGAAAGCCCGCAUUAGCCAUCUCUGUCAUUGUGUGUGUGUGUGUGUGUGUGUGUGUGUGUGUGUGUGUGUGUGUGUGCGUGCCUGCUGCAUCCUGUCAGAGGCUGGAGCACUGCAUGAAUGAGCUGCGUACAUCUUAGCUUGUGUGCUGGACAGGCUAGGAUAGUUCUAAAGAUGUCAUCCCUCAUCUGAGAUCCCCAGAGGCUGACUGAAUCCCCUGAGUCUGCCCCGCUCCUGGCCAAUUUCUCUUCUCACAUCUUUGAGCAGUUAAGAACUCUGGACUGUAGGGUCCUGUCCCCAUGCGGACUUGGAGUCAGACCCAUGUCUAGUGAGUCAAUAGUGUUUCUUUGUCAAGAUUUGAAGGGUUAUGGGAACCUGUGUACCCCUAGGGCUGCUUAUAGAUGCUCAGAAAACACCCGUCUCCCUUGCAUCAAAUGGGCUCGGAUGCUGGCACCGGGAGGUGAUGCAUCAACAGCUGGGAGGAAGCUCAUGGGCAGCACUCAGAGAGUGUUUAUGGGAUGAAUAAAUAAAAACACUUUUUUUUUUUUGAAGAAAUUAAGAAACAAGGAAAGGGAGAAACAUCCAGGGAAGACAACAUAAAUCUCCAGCAAUGUUACCAACGCUACAGCCAGGGCUGCUGAAAAGACCCUGUGGAGGUGGUGGGGCCAUUUGUCAUGGGCGAGGACAGGCUUGAGGGCUGGGACAUGGGGCCUGAUGGAGGCUCGUCCAUCAUUUUCUCAUUAUCCCCGCGACGUGGAGGGCAGCUAGAGGAUCACAGAACAGCAGCCUCCGAAGGAAGGUGGCAGGGCUGGGAGUGCGAGGGACCCCGAGGGAGGGCAGGCUGCCCCAGGCCCUGCCCCCUCCAGGAAGCCUUCUCGCUCCAGCCCAACACACGAUCUCACUUGCCCUCGGACGUUCAUCAUGUGAUCUUUUAUCGACGCUGCUGUGGACCUUGUUUGCAUGUGUGCCUGUGCUUGCCCAGGUUGCAUACAGAAAAGGCACUGUGAAUGCCUGUUUCCCUUGUCCUUCCAUUGUAGGCAUGUGACACUGGAUUGGCCCUCAGGCGUGGAUGUUCAGGAACUCCACCUACCCAACUGCUGUUCCUAGGUUGGAGCCGUCCCUUCGGGUAUGCCCAUGGGACAGCCAUGGCUACAAGCAAGCCCCGAGGCCUGACCUUAAGCCAUCAGUGGGCCUGUAGCUGCUCCGCUCAGCUCCUGUUUGCUGCCUUUUUUCCCCCUGGAUCUUCUGCUGAAGACAAUGAAGACGUCUGACUGGAGAAGAUGCCCCUUGGGGAGAGGACCAGGACCACCCAGGACCCAGUGGGAUCCAGUACCCCUGCCACACCCUGAGCCAUCCGUCUCCGAGCCCCCCCUCCAUUAAUAUCCCCUGCUUUUUACCACUGCCUCCCCGCCCCCAGCCUUGCGUUUUAGAUCUCAGCAGGACCUGAGCAGCCCUUGCUUAGGAGCCUGAGGUGGGGGGUGGGUAGGCAGACCCAGGGGACUGAGCAUGGGUAGAAAAAAAGAUUUCUGCUCUUGGCUUUCAAGCCUCAGUGUGUGGAGCCCUUUGAAUAAUAAACAUAUAUCAUAAAAUGUAAA